Molecule: ribosomal RNA, 443 nt
Filed under: uncultured bacterium
Lineage: Bacteria
Description: partial 16S ribosomal RNA
Rfam family: Bacterial small subunit ribosomal RNA
Source: RNAcentral
CCUACGGGAGGCUGCAGUGGGGAAUAUUGGGCAAUGGGCGCAAGCCUGACCCAGCAACGCCGCGUGAAGGAAGAAGGCUUUCGGGUUGUAAACUUCUUUUCUCAGGGACGAAGAAAGUGACGGUACCUGAGGAAUAAGCCACGGCUAACUACGGGCCAGCAGCCGCGGUGAUACGUAGGUCGAAAGCGUUAUCCGGAUUUCUUGGGUGUAAAGGGCGUGUAGGCGGGAGCGCAAGUCAGAUGUGAAAAUUCAGGGCUCAACCCUGAGCCUGCAUUUGAAACUGUGUUUCUUGAGUGCGGUGGAGGCAAUCGGAAUGCGGGGUGUAGCGGUGAAAUGCGUAGAUAUACGGAGGAACACCAGUGGCGAAGGCGGAUUGCUGGACAGUAACUGACGCUGAGGCGCGAAAGCGUGGGGAGCAAACAGGAUUAGAUACCCUAGUAGUC